RNAcentral lists this unclassified non-coding RNA (418 nucleotides) under uncultured fungus. RNAcentral describes it as "partial contains small subunit ribosomal RNA, internal transcribed spacer 1, and 5.8S ribosomal RNA". The stretch from base 1 to 73 matches the Rfam family "Eukaryotic small subunit ribosomal RNA", at positions 1759 to 1831 of the family's 1831-position model. The record is from RNAcentral. Lineage: Eukaryota; Fungi.
GCAAACUUGGUCAUUUAGAGGAAGUAAAAGUCGUAACAAGGUUUCCGUAGGUGAACCUGCGGAAGGAUCAUUAUUGAAUAAACCUGGUGGGUUGUAGCUGGCUCCCAAGAGCAUGUGCACACCUAUCAUCUUUAUCCAUCCACCUGUGCACCCUUUGUAGUCUUGUAGAGAAUGACUGACAAUUGGGCCACUAUUCUAUCGGUCUGUUAACACACCGGAUAUGAGGAGUGCUUGUGUGCAAACAUGGCUCUCUGGACAAGAAUAGUAGGCGGUCUAUAGUUGUUUUCUCAAGUCUAUGUGGUUUCAUACACACCUAUAAUAUUUUUAAGAAUGUAAUAAAAGGGCCCAAGGGCUUUAAUAAAAUCAUACAACUUUCAGCAACGGAUCUCUUGGCUCUCGCAUCGAUGAAGAACGCAGC